CCACCGGCGGCCCGAGUGGUGAUCGUGAUUAUUGGGUCUAAAGGGUCCGUAGCCGGUUUGGUCAGUCCUCCGGGAAAUCUGAUAGCUCAACUAUUAGGCUUUCGGGGGAUACUGCCAGACUUGGAACCGGGAGAGGUAAGAGGUACUACAGGGGUAGGAGUGAAAUCUUGUAAUCCCUGUGGGACCACCUGUGGCGAAGGCGUCUUACCAGAACGGGUUCGACGGUGAGGGACGAAAGCUGGGGGCACGAACCGGAUUAGAUACCCGGGUAGUCCCAGCCGUAAACGAUGCUCGCUAGGUGUCAGGCAUGGCGCGACCGUGUCUGGCGCCGCAGGGAAGCCGUGAAGCGAGCCACCUGGGAAGUACGGCCGCAAGGCUGAA
RNAcentral lists this ribosomal RNA (381 nucleotides) under uncultured archaeon. RNAcentral's name for it is "bacterial SSU rRNA". It matches the Rfam family "Archaeal small subunit ribosomal RNA", at positions 473 to 853 of the family's 1478-position model. The record is from RNAcentral.